Molecule: ribosomal RNA, 280 nt
Filed under: uncultured bacterium
Lineage: Bacteria
Description: partial 16S ribosomal RNA
Rfam family: Bacterial small subunit ribosomal RNA
Source: RNAcentral
CCUACGGGGGGCAGCAGUAGGGAAUCUUCCGCAAUGGGCGAAAGCCUGACGGAGCAACGCCGCGUGAGUGAUGAAGGUCUUCGGAUCGUAAAACUCUGUUGUUAGGGAAGAACAAAUUUGUUAGUAACUGAACAAGUCUUGACGGUACCUAACCAGAAAGCCACGGCUAACUACGUGCCAGCAGCCGCGGUAAUACGUAGGUGGCAAGCGUUAUCCGGAAUUAUUGGGCGUAAAGCGCGCGUAGGCGGUUUCUUAAGUCUGAUGUGAAAGCCCACGGCUC